UCCCCUAGUAACGGCGAGUGAAGCGGGAAGAGCUCAAAUUUAAAAUCUGGCAGUCUACGGCUGUCCGAGUUGUAGUCUAGAGAAGUGUUUUCUGUGCUGGACCAUGUACAAGUCCCUUGGAAUAGGGCGUCAUAGAGGGUGAGAAUCCCGUCUUUGACAUGGACUACCAGUGCUCUGUGAUGCACUCUCGAAGAGUCGAGUUGUUUGGGAAUGCAGCUCAAAAUGGGUGGUAAAUUCCAUCUAAAGCUAAAUAUUGGUGGAAGACCGAUAGCGAACAAGUACCGUGAGGGAAAGAUGAAAAGCACUUUGGAAAGAGAGUUAAACAGUACGUGAAAUUGUUGAAAGGGAAACGCUUGAAGUCAGUCGCGUCUGUCAGGAUUCAGCCUUGCCUUGGCUUGGUGUAUUUCCUGUCUGACGGGCCAGCAUCAGUUUUGACCGCUGGAUAAAGGCAGGGGGAAUGUGGCACCUCCGGGUGUGUUAUAGCCUCCUGUUGUAUACAGCGGUUGGGACUGAGGACCGCAGCACGCCUUUAUGGCCGGGGUUCGCCCACGUAUCGUGCUUAGGAUGCUGGCGUAAUGGCUUUAAACGACCCGUCUUGAAACACGGACCAAGGAGUCUAACAUGCCUGCGAGUGUUUGGGUGGAAAACCCUUGCGCGUAAUGAAAGUGAUCAGUUGGGAUGUCUGUCGUGGACUGCACCAACGCCCGGACCUGAUGUUUACUGACGGUACCGAGGUAGAGCAAGUAUGUUGGGACCCGAAAGAUGGUGAACUAUGCCUGAGUAGGGUGAAGCCAGAGGAAACUCUGGUGGAGGCUCGUAGCGAUUCUGACGUGCAAAUCGAUCGUCGAACUUGGGUAUAGGGGCGAAAGACUAAUCGAACCAUCUAGUAGCUGGUUCCU
RNAcentral lists this ribosomal RNA (899 nucleotides) under Sphaerobolus sp. RNAcentral's name for it is "partial large subunit ribosomal RNA". It matches the Rfam family "Eukaryotic large subunit ribosomal RNA", at positions 76 to 959 of the family's 3401-position model. Lineage: Eukaryota; Fungi; Basidiomycota; Agaricomycetes; Geastrales; Sphaerobolaceae. The record is from RNAcentral.